This 345-nucleotide unclassified non-coding RNA is filed under the name soil metagenome. RNAcentral describes it as "partial contains 5.8S ribosomal RNA, internal transcribed spacer 2, and large subunit ribosomal RNA". The stretch from base 1 to 120 matches the Rfam family "5.8S ribosomal RNA", at positions 35 to 154 of the family's 154-position model. The record is from RNAcentral.
GAUGAAGAACGUAGCGAAAUUCGAUACGUAAUGUGAAUUGCAGAAUUCAGUGAAUCAUCGAGUCUUUGAACGCACAUUGCGCCCCCUGGUAUUCCGGGGGGCAUGCCUGUCCGAGCGUCAUUGCUGCCCUCAAGCACGGCUUGUGUGUUGGGCCUCCGUCCUCCUCCCGGGGGACGGGCCCGAAAGGCAGCGGCGGCACCGCGUCCGGUCCUCGAGCGUAUGGGGCUUCGUCACCCGCUCUUGUAGGCCCGGCCGGCGCUUGCCGACACAUCAAUCUUUUUUCCAGGUUGACCUCGGAUCAGGUAGGGAUACCCGCUGAACUUAAGCAUAUCAAUAAGCGGAGGA